Molecule: ribosomal RNA, 305 nt
Filed under: uncultured bacterium
Lineage: Bacteria
Description: bacterial SSU rRNA
Rfam family: Bacterial small subunit ribosomal RNA
Source: RNAcentral
UCUCCUACGGGAGGCAGCAGUGGGGAAUAUUGCACAAUGGGGGAAACCCUGAUGCAGCGACGCCGCGUGAGUGAAGAAGUAUUUCGGUAUGUAAAGCUCUAUCAGCAGGAACGAGACAAGACGGUACCUGACUAAGAAGCCCCGGCUAACUACGUGCCAGCAGCCGCGGUAAUACGUAGGGGGCAAGCGUUAUCCGGAUUUACUGGGUGUAAAGGGAGCGUAGACGGCUGAGCAAGUCUGAAGUGAAAGGCGGGGGCCCAACCCCCGGACUGCUUUGGAAACUGUAUAGCUAGAGUGCAGGAGAG